GAUGAACGCUGGCGGCGUGCCUAAUACAUGCAAGUCGAGCGAACGGACGAGAAGCUUGCUUCUCUGAUGUUAGCGGCGGACGGGUGAGUAACACGUGGAUAACCUACCUAUAAGACUGGGAUAACUUCGGGAAACCGGAGCUAAUACCGGAUAAUAUUUUGAACCGCAUGGUUCAAGAGUGAAAGACGGCCUUGCUGUCACUUAUAGAUGGAUCCGCGCUGCAUUAGCUAGUUGGUAAGGUAACGGCUUACCAAGGCAACGAUGCAUAGCCGACCUGAGAGGGUGAUCGGCCACACUGGAACUGAGACACGGUCCAGACUCCUACGGGAGGCAGCAGUAGGGAAUCUUGGGCAAUGGGCGAAAGCCUGACGCAGCAACACCGCGUGAGUGAUGAAGGUCUUCGGAUCGUAAAACUCUGUUAUUAGGGAAGAACAUAUGUGUAAGUAACUGUGGACAUCUUGACGGUACCUAAUCAGAAAGCCACGGCUAACUACGUG
RNAcentral lists this ribosomal RNA (497 nucleotides) under uncultured bacterium. Its description in RNAcentral is "partial 16S ribosomal RNA". It matches the Rfam family "Bacterial small subunit ribosomal RNA", at positions 28 to 507 of the family's 1533-position model. The record is from RNAcentral.